This 1001-nucleotide long non-coding RNA is filed under the name Pelobates cultripes (western spadefoot toad). Lineage: Eukaryota; Metazoa; Chordata; Amphibia; Anura; Pelobatidae. The record is from RNAcentral.
UGUAACUGACUGAACCUAAGAUGUAGUACCAGCUCUGACUUAACCCCAGCCAAAGGGCUGGGGCCUUGUAAGUAAAAUGAACAUUUAGCAAUUGUAAUAGCCAUUUGUGUAACAUUUAGUAACCUUUUGUAAGUAAUUUGUUGUAGUUUUGUAUUGUAUCAUAAUUGUAGUAAAUUGACAUUCUGCUAGCAUCUGUUUAUUUGUUAUAGUUAUAUUAAAUAUACAUUUAAUUAGUUUUGUAUUGUAUCAUAAUUGUAGUAAAUUGACAUUCUGCUAGCAUCUGUUUAUUUGUUAUAGUUAUAUUAAAUAUACAUUUAAUAUUACAACGUUUUGUGUAUUUUCUAUACACAUAUUCGACCAUAAUACCAUGAAUUAUAAAAAUAUUAAUGUUCCGUAUUGCUUAAUUAUUAUGUAUUAAGAGAUUAAUAUUCAUAUUUAGGUCAUGACCACAACAGUGCACAAUGUAAAUAAUCCACACUUUUUGUAUAAGAGACUGCUGUCCUCUACCUUUUAUCCUAGAGGACCGUGUUGCUUUGCACAUGAAAGGUCACAGCACAUUUAAAUUGGCUCACUUAUUUGCUUGAUUUGCAUGAGCAAGCAUGGCCUUCUUAAGUACUUUUAUGGCCCUGAACAAGGCCGAUAUCUGUACUCUGAUCUUACAGGACUCCUCCACCAUUAAAUUGGUGCUCAAUAUAUUACAUUUUGAGUUAGGAUUGGUUAUGCUUUUAUAAAUUGGUGUGGAAUGUCUAGGAUCCUAACUGGACCAACAAUCUUUCAAAAACCUUAUACUUUUUUGUUUAAUAUGCAUAUUUCUAGCCACUUGGAUGGAACAAAAUGGUGGUGCCCAGAUAUUCAGAUCUGACUUGAGGACAGAAAGAUAAUAAAUAUAUUUAAAGGCAAGUAUAAUCACAUAGAUACAGUGGGCAUAAGGAAAGGAGAACUGAAAAAAAAAAAAAGAUAAACAUGGCAGUAUUCUUUCCACAUUCUAUGUUAAUAGUAAC